ACCAAAGGCAUAUCACCAUGUAGCCCAAGACUGCUUACUCACUUAAGCUAAGCAGGGUCAGUUUGGUCUGUGCCUGGAUGGGAGGCCACAUGGAAAAACUAGGUUGCUGUUGGAA
RNAcentral lists this ribosomal RNA (115 nucleotides) under Danio rerio (zebrafish). The record is from RNAcentral. Lineage: Eukaryota; Metazoa; Chordata; Actinopteri; Cypriniformes; Danionidae.